GAGGGCAUAGCUCAGUGGUAGAGUGCAUGCUUAGCAUGCAAGAGGUCCUGGGUUCAAUCCCCAGUGCUGCCA
RNAcentral lists this transfer RNA (72 nucleotides) under Camelus bactrianus (Bactrian camel). It matches the Rfam family "tRNA". Rfam says of the family: Transfer RNA (tRNA) molecules are approximately 80 nucleotides in length. The record is from Rfam by way of RNAcentral. Lineage: Eukaryota; Metazoa; Chordata; Mammalia; Artiodactyla; Camelidae. RNAcentral also lists the same sequence under 2 other names.